UACGGAGGAUGCAAGCGUUAUCCGGAUUUAUUAGGUUUAAAGGGUGCGUAGGCGGAAUAAUAAGUCAGUGGUGAAAUCCUACAGCUUAACUGUAGAACUGCCAUUGAUACUGUUGUUCUUGAGUACAGUUGAGGUAGGCGGAAUGUGUCGUGUAGCGGUGAAAUGCUUAGAUAUGACCCAGAACGCCGAUUGCGAAGGCAGCUUACUAAACUGUCACUGACGCUGAUGCACGAAAGCGUGGGUAGCGAACAGG
Molecule: ribosomal RNA, 253 nt
Filed under: uncultured bacterium
Lineage: Bacteria
Description: partial 16S ribosomal RNA
Rfam family: Bacterial small subunit ribosomal RNA
Source: RNAcentral